CCUACGGGAGGCAGCAGUGAGGAAUAUUGGUCAAUGGACGCAAGUCUGAACCAGCCAUGCCGACGUGCAGGAAGAAUGCCCUAUGGAGUUGUAAACUGCUUGUUAUUUAGGAAGAAACCCUGACGUGUCGGGGGCUGACGGUACUAAACGAAUAAGGACCGGCUAACUCCGUGCCAGCAGC
This 181-nucleotide ribosomal RNA is filed under the name uncultured bacterium. RNAcentral's name for it is "partial 16S ribosomal RNA". It matches the Rfam family "Bacterial small subunit ribosomal RNA", at positions 338 to 515 of the family's 1533-position model. The record is from RNAcentral.